CUUAACAGCAGGGCCACCAGGCAGAGCGGGACAGCCAGGAGGAAGGGCAGCUUGGCAGAGCCUCAGGAUGGACCCCCUUGAGGACACGCUGCGGCGACUGCGGGAGGCCUUCCACGCGGGGCGCACGCGGCCAGCUGAGUUCCGGGCUGCGCAGCUCCGAGGCCUGGGCUGCUUCCUGCAAGAAAACAAGCAGCUUCUGCACGACGCACUGGCCCAGGACCUGCACAAGGUGGGCUGGGGUUGGGGGUAUGAGAGGGUGCACUGGGGCAGGGGGGCAUGGAGGGCAGCUGGGACAGCAGGGGGUGAAGACACCUGCACCCUCCAUGAAGCGGGGCUAAAAGCAGCUCCUCCCCUAGGCCAGAGCCACCCUUGCACAUUCAUCCAGUCACUCAUUUCUGUAUUCAUGCAGCAACUAUUUGCUGAGCACCUACUAUGUGCCAGGUACUGUUCUAGGCUCUGGGGAUAUAGCAGAGAAUAAAACACAGUUCCCAUGCCUACGAAGCUGACCUUCUGUCGGAGACAAUAAAACAGCAAAUAAAUAAUUGCACAGCAAGGCCGGGCCCGGUGGCUCACACCUGUAGUCCCAGCACUUUGGGAGGCCCAGGUGGGCGGAUCGCUUGAGGCCAGGAGUUCAAGACCAGCCUGGCCAACAUGGCGAAACCCCGUCUCUACUAACAAUACAAAAAUUAGCUGGAUGUGGUGGUGGGCACCUGUAAUCCCAGCUACUCAGGAGGCUGAGGCAUGAGAAUCGCUUGAACCUGGGAGGUGGAGGUUGCAGUGAGCCAAGGUCACACCACUGCACUCCAGCUUGGGCAACACAGUGAGACUUCAUCUCAAAAAUAAUAAUAAAGAUAAUAAUUACACAGCAUAUUGGGUUGAAAUAUGUGCCCUGGAGACACACCCAAGGUGAAGGGGAGAGAGGGGGCCAGGAUCAGGGUGCUGCUGUAUAUGUGGGGGUCAGGGAAGGUUUCUCUGAGAAGGGGGCUUUACAGCAGAGAUGUGAAGAUGGAGGGGGAGGCUCCCCAUGGAUGCUGGGGAGAUGGCAGUGGGCACAGCACGUGCAAAGGCCCUGAGGCAGGAGGUGCUGGGUGUUUCUGCUUGAGGAGCAGCAAGGAAGCCAGCAUAGCUGUCGGGGGUGGGAGAGGAAGAAACAGCAAAGAUGAGGUCUGGGGUAUGGGCCACACUAUGUACGGCCUCGGAGGCCGUGAGGCCUUGGCCUUCUCUCUGGGUACAGCAGGCAUCAUGGCCUCUGUCUAGACCCUGAAGGCUUGGGGCCUCAGCCCCUCCCAAUCCCAGUGGCAGCCGAGGCAGAACCCCAAGAAACACACUUCCCCCAACCCCUCACCCAUCAGGGCCCAUGUACCUGCCUGCCCCUGCCUCAGGACACCACCUGCCCCUGCCUCAGGACACCACCUGCCCCUGCCUCAGGACAUCUGCCCCAGGGGCUGCCCCCGGCUCCUAUUCUCUGGACAAAAUGUCUCCUCCCUUUGCCUUGAAGGCCGUAGUGUUCAGACCUUCCCCCAGCCCAUUGGGCUCCCUGGGGACUGACUCCCCCGCCACCACUGAGCUUCCGCCACCGGCCGCCUGCCGGCCUUCACGAGACUUGACCUGACGUCUGUCUGGUCCCUUUUCUCCCUUCGGCUCUGAUUCCACCUCCUGCCUUCCCAUCCCAGCUGCAGGAGCGGGGCCCUACAAAGGCAGCAGUAGCCCAGAACAUUCAACCUGGUCCCUCCCUCUGGACCUGGUCACCCCCCUGUCCCCACCCUCAGCAGGCAGCAUCUGCCCAGCGUCACAUGCACCCUCUCAGUUAACCCCUUGGUGAAUCUGGUUGGGCAACCACACCCAGUGGCCCCCAGAAGAGGCUCAGAGAGAGUGUGUUCUUGCCCAAGGGCAUGCAGCCAGGAAGAGCAGAGCCAGAGUUUGAACCUGGCUCAAAAUAGCCCAGUCUCCCAAAGUCAGGUCCCAGGUGACCUAGGAGGUGUGGUGGGCAGGCCACCAGGCUCAUGGGGCCAGAGCACAGGCUGUGGGAAAGUCCGUGUGGAAGGCACCUUCGCCCAGCCUCAGUGGCUGGGAGGUGCCGGUGGGCGUGGCGUCUUCCUCCCUCUUGGGGCUCAGCUAUAGCCCUGGCCUUGCCCCUGGUUCGCUGAGUGACCUCAGGCAGGGCAUCUCCUUCUCUGGGCUUCGCUGGUCCUCUGGCCCAUCCAGCACCCCACUGGCCCGUCCCCCUCUGCCCUGACCCGGGAGAGCCUGCACCCCAUAACCUCAGGCGCUGCCUCAGGCAGGGAGCCAGCCUGGCCCCAGUGUCCCUGACCUGUUCUCCAGCGGCCUGCAGCCUGCUGCCUGGCUGGUCUCUCCUCCCUUGGGGUGCAGAGGACAGGGAGCACUGGCUAGCCGAGAGCAGGACAAUGUCCCUAUUGAUUCGGGUCUCCUCACUUCUGCUUAGAAGCCUGACAGUGGCCCUGGCCCCUGGGCUGUGGGAACUGACAGCAUUUACCUAGGGGUGGCUGUGCCUGUGUCUCCUGCAGACCAAUCUCCACCCUGCUCUUUGGGAGGCUGAGGUGGGAGGAUUGUUUGAGGCCAGGAGUUCAAGACCUACCUAGGCAACAUAGCAAGACACUCUGCAAAAAAUCAAAACAAACUUUUUUUAAAAUUAAAAAAAAACAAAACCCUAAGUCAGAUCCCAUCCCUGCUCUUCUCAGGAGUCCUUGCCUGGCCACCUGGCCCCCUCACCUUGCCCACUCUGCUUCUUGCUAAACAGGAGCAGAGCAAGCUCACAGCCACCUCGGGGCCUUUGCAGCCGCCAGGGCCUCUGCCCAAAGUAUGCCGCCUCCCAGUACCCACGACUUGCUUGUUCCUUGCCUUCAGGUCACUGCUCCAAUGUGACCGCUGCCUGGAGACCUGCACUGACCGCUUUGUAAAAACAGCACACACACACAUGCUCAUGUGGAUGUAUACAUGUGCACACCUGUGCACGCCCACAGCCACACGCUCCAGCAGUCUCCACCCCCACCCUGCUCCAUGAUUUCCCUAGCACAGCCACAUCCUAAUGGAGCCGUCAGCGUUCUCACUUUCACGUGGAACGACUGCCCCCUGCAAGGUCGGCCUCAGGGCCGGUCCCUCUGUUUGGCACAGAGACAGCACCUCACACAGGAAGCACGCACUGAACAUGGAGUGAGUGAGUGAGUGAACGAAUGAAUGAAAAUGAAUGAAUGAGUUGUGGGAGCAGGCCCUGCCUGGAGGAGGCUGUGCCCUCCUGCCAACUCUGGGAAUCCUGGCCCACCCUGACCCCACCCACUUCCUGCAGUCAGCCUUCGAGUCGGAGGUGUCUGAGGUUGCCAUCAGCCAGGGCGAGGUCACCCUGGCCCUCAGGAACCUCCGGGCCUGGAUGAAGGACGAGCAUGUGCCCAAGAACCUGGCCACGCAGCUGGACUCCGCCUUCAUCCGGAAGGAGCCCUUUGGCCUGGUCCUCAUCAUUGCACCCUGGAACUAUCCCCUGAACCUGACGCUGGUGCCCCUCGUGGGUGCCCUCGCUGCAGGGAACUGUGUGGUGCUGAAGCCAUCAGAGAUUAGCAAGAAUGUCGAGAAGAUCCUGGCCGAGGUGCUGCCCCGAUACCUGGACCAGAGCUGCUUUGCUGUGGUGCUGGGCGGGCCCCAGGAGACGGGGCAGCUGCUGGAGCACAGGUUCGACUACAUCUUCUUCACAGGGAGCCCUCGUGUGGGCAAGAUUGUUAUGACUGCUGCCGCCAAGCACCUGACACCUGUCACCCUGGAGCUGGGGGGCAAGAACCCUUGCUACGUGGACGACAACUGCGACCCCCAGACCGUGGCCAACCGCGUGGCCUGGUUCCGCUACUUCAACGCUGGCCAGACCUGCGUGGCCCCCGACUACGUCCUGUGCAGCCCCGAGAUGCAGGAGAGGCUGCUACCCGCCCUGCAGAGCACCAUCACCCGUUUCUAUGGCGACGACCCCCAGAGCUCCCCAAACCUGGGCCGCAUCAUCAACCAGAAACAGUUCCAGCGGCUGCGGGCAUUGCUGGGCUGCGGCCGCGUGGCCAUUGGGGGCCAGAGCGACGAGAGCGAUCGCUACAUCGCCCCCACGGUGCUGGUGGACGUGCAGGAGACGGAGCCUGUGAUGCAGGAGGAGAUCUUCGGGCCCAUCCUGCCCAUCGUGAACGUGCGGAGCUUGGACGAGGCCAUCGAGUUCAUCAACCGGCGGGAGAAGCCCCUGGCCCUGUACGCCUUCUCCAACAGCAGCCAGGUGGUCAAGCGGGUGCUGACCCAGACCAGCAGCGGGGGCUUCUGUGGGAACGACGGCUUCAUGCACAUGACCCUGGCCAGCCUGCCUUUUGGAGGAGUGGGUGCCAGUGGGAUGGGCCGGUACCAUGGCAAGUUCUCCUUCGACACCUUCUCCCACCAUCGCGCCUGCCUCCUGCGCAGCCCGGGGAUGGAGAAGCUCAACGCCCUCCGCUACCCGCCGCAAUCGCCGCGCCGCCUGAGGAUGCUGCUGGUGGCCAUGGAGGCCCGAGGCUGCAGCUGCACACUGCUCUGAGCCCUUCCCCAGGCCCAGGCUGUAGACCACCAUGACAGCUGUCGCCUGCGGCUGGUGGAGACGGGGCCUGGGCUCCCGGGCCCGAGGAGGAAAAGGAUUGCCAAGGCUCCAGGGCACCCCUCAAAGCAGCGCCUGCCUCCUCCCUCCUGGGUCUUCCCUCUCCCUGCCUCAGCCUCCUCCCUCAGCCGCUCCCAACCAUGAGAGCCGAGGUGGGAGGCAUGGGAAACAGUGCAGUGACCCAUCCCCUGCCCCCGCACCAACCACCCAUCUUCAGGAGAAGAGGACAGACACGGCACCUCUGAGUCACCCCUCUCCUGUGGAGCGGGCGUCCGAGGGGCCCUGGCAUCUGACUCAGGCCACACCAUGGAAUCACUGCAUCCAAGGCCAUUCCUGCCCUCUCUGAGUCUCAGUUUCUCCAUUUGUUCAGUGGAGAGAAUUAACCAUUGAUACCUCCUGGCUGGGUGAGGUGGCUCACACCUGUAAUCCCAGCACUUUGGGAGGCCGAGGCGGGCGGAUCACCUGAAAUCAGGAGUUCAAGAUCAGCCUGGCUAACAUGGCGAAACCCCGUCUCUACUAAAAAUACAAAAAUUAGCCCGGCGUGGUGGCGCAUGCCUGUAAUCCCAGCUACUCAGGAGGCUAAGGCAGGAGAAUCGCUUGAACCCGGGAGGUGGAGGUUGCCGUGAGCCGAGAUUGCGUCACUGAACUCCGGCCUGGGUGACAGAAGGAGGCUCUGCCUUAAAAAAAAAAAAACAAAAACCUCCUGGGACUGUUGCAAGGAUGAAAUGAAGGAUUGAGGGAUUGAGGGAUUGCUGAGCUGGAGCUCCAGGUGUCCUAUCUUUCUUGGUGGGGUGGCACGGAGCGGGGCCGCCUCCCUCUUCUCUCCAGGCAGGUGGGGCUGUGGUUAUGCGAUAGGGUCUCCCUUCCCUCCGGCCCAUGCCAGAGGAGCUUGUAACUCUUUAUCCUCAUGGUGCCCACUACGAGUCAUACUCUUCCCCAUGCUGCUCAUCCUCCUGGGCCCCAUCCACUCAGCCAAAGCAGAAUGCAGGAUUUCCUGCCUGACAACCCUUCUCACCUCCCAAGUCCCACUUUUGAACAAGCUGAUGAUUCUGAAACUGGCCCAAUUUCCUAACAAGCCGGAUGCUUGAGAAACCUACAUUUGGACAAUGAGAGGCAGCUCCUGCGGCCUGCGGGCCACCUCCUCUUCCUUGGCUCCUGCUUUCUUUUCAGACUAUAUCAACCUACAACUUUAGUCGGGAAGGGGGACAGGGGUGGACCUGAGUUUCGUCUCCUGUCUCUCUGGCUGAUGUCACCUGAAUAAAGCCUUCUUCCCUGGCAAUACUUA
Molecule: small RNA, 5891 nt
Filed under: Pan troglodytes (chimpanzee)
Lineage: Eukaryota; Metazoa; Chordata; Mammalia; Primates; Hominidae
Description: retained intron
Source: RNAcentral